This is a non-coding RNA of Triticum aestivum (bread wheat), 120 nucleotides long. The record is from Rfam. Lineage: Eukaryota; Viridiplantae; Streptophyta; Magnoliopsida; Poales; Poaceae.
UAUGUACUCCCUCCGUCCGAAAAUACUUUUCCUAGAAAUGGUUGUAUCUAGACUUACUUUAUAGAUACAUCCAUUUUAUUCAUUUUUAGGACAAGUAUUUUCGGACGGAGGGAGUACAUC